Uranotaenia lowii is the source of this 470-nucleotide long non-coding RNA. RefSeq lists it as uncharacterized. Lineage: Eukaryota; Metazoa; Arthropoda; Insecta; Diptera; Culicidae. The transcript is spliced from 3 exons. The record is from RefSeq and is a predicted model, not a curated record.
ACCGCAAUAUGUUACAAUAUAGUGGCCAUCUUUGGACGCACAGUUCGCUUGUUUUUCUUACGCGCUGCCGGCUGAGUUCAACUGAAUUUAGUUGGUUGAAGGAGUGUACAGCUCCAGGAGUAUUAAAUAUUUGAUAACAAUACGGAACAACCGGAACCUCGGCAGAAAGCUCUGAAAUAGCUAGCUGUUUUGAGGGAGAACAACCGAUCGGCUCUAGGAUUUGGAUCAGGUGCUUCCAGUCAGAAAACAGGAAUGGUAGAUGGCAGCAAUACCAACGAUAGCGAUGCGGAAGAAAUGACCAGCAGAGCACUUCCUCCGAGUCUGUCCGAUUCGAAAAAUUCAGUAGAAACCCGACACUGAAAAAAGAGAGCAGUGGGCGCAGGAUCAGGUACAUUCAUCGGGGAAAAGGCAGUAGCGCUUAUCCGGAGUGGUGGCAGCAGUGACCGACUGAAUACCUGAGAACCAUUUAA